RNAcentral lists this long non-coding RNA (903 nucleotides) under Paramuricea clavata. The record is from RNAcentral. Lineage: Eukaryota; Metazoa; Cnidaria; Anthozoa; Malacalcyonacea; Plexauridae.
AUUGGUUUAGUUGUUGUGUUUUCAUUCUUUGUAUCUAUUCUUCACAUUUUGUUAAGCAAACCAGUUGUGUAUAUAGAGUAGAUUGCAUAUUGCAGUACGAAUUCAAAAUGGUUUCGAAAACCUAAACUCACCACCUGAAAAAAAAUAGUCUCAUAUAUAAACUCUGCCUCUGAAAUUCUGCCUUGCUUGUAGCAGUGUUCCAGCUCUCAUUCAGACCUUUGUGGCUAUAUUCUUCUCCUUCGACUCGUUAAGUUAUUCUGUCUGACGCUAGACGAUAAUGACCAUAUUUUCACAAUGGUAUUAAAAGGGAAUGGACGAGAAAAAGGUUUUCAAGAUCGCGGCUAUUUUUAAAGCACUAAAGAAUCAACAACCAUGCACUCAUAUAACAAUCCUAAACCUUACCCCAAACCUAACCCUAACAUUAACCCUAAACUAAAGUGAGCUCUGAGUUUAAAUUUUGAACUUUCUUGAAAACUUCUUUCUCGUCCAUCCCUUUUAGCUAUUACCUUAUAUACCAUUAAUAAAGUUGGUCGCCAGGGGAGUGUACAGUAGUGAUCUUUAGUUAUCAAGGGGGUUGUUUUCAGUGGACUAGUGCGUACAUUAAUUUAGUAUAAACUAUAUAUAUACAGAACAUAUUGUUCACAUGUUAAUUUGUAGUGAAUGGUAUUUUUUGCAGGUUUAGUGACUAUAUUCGUCACAUAUUGUGUAUUUUAUGGAAAUAUUUGGGGAAAAACAAUAAAAAUAUUUUCAAAAACUUGUCUAAGUUUUAUGUUAUAUAAUUAUGUUACCUGCCUAUUGUUUUUGUAACUUAGUUGCGCAAACAAAUAUGAAGCAUUUAACAUAUUGGCGUACGUGAAUGGAAAGAAUACUUGAUAUAAUGCCUAGUGUAUUUGAUUCCUGAAC